RNAcentral lists this ribosomal RNA (253 nucleotides) under uncultured bacterium. RNAcentral describes it as "partial 16S ribosomal RNA". It matches the Rfam family "Bacterial small subunit ribosomal RNA", at positions 524 to 776 of the family's 1533-position model. The record is from RNAcentral.
GACAGAGGCCUCAAGCGUUAGGCGGAAUCACUGGGCUUAAAGCGUGUGUAGGCGGAUCGUUAAGUGUCUUGUGAAAUCCCACGGCUCAACCGUGGAACUGCUUGGUAUACUGCGGGUCUUGAGCCACCUAGGGGCGAGCGGAACAAGUGGUGGAGCGGUGAAAUGCGUAGAUAUCACUUGGAACGCCAAUGGUGAAAACAGCUCGCUGGGGGUGUGCUGACGCUGAGACACGAAAGCCAGGGGAGCAAACGGG